AAAAAGUACUCUUGGCGCAUACACGCGCAUUGUUGUAUACACGUCUUAAAUUAGUAUUGGAUAAAGACAAUGCACGAAUAGUUGCAGUAAGGGUAUACUUGCGUACUUAGAUUAGCAACGCAUUCGCCUGAUCCGCACACACCCUGACAGGCGUUGUACUGGGAUAUCAGUUCAAUGCAAGUUAAACAAUUAAUUCGGAUGACAAGACAUUGCAUACGAUUGAUUGCAAUAUGCUUCUAACUAGACGUGCGGUAAGAGGCAGAGUGGAGAGCUAUUCAGUUUUAUUAAGUUUUAUAAUUAAUUUGUAUAUAGUGCAGGCACCACCAGGUAUGGAGUGUUAUUUCCAUCUUCGGGAAAGUACUGCCGACUACUUAUCUAAUGGCUUGGACGAAUUGCACCUUCGCGACGGUCUAUCCGCAUUAUGAAUAAUGCAGACGUCACCAAGGACCUUCAACCGCUUCAGUAUCGAUAAAAUCCCUAAAGUUACCUCGCCAGUUCUGGUGAUCCACGGAACUGAGGAUGAGGUGAUAGACUUCUCCCACGGACUCGCCAUAUACGAGCGCUGUCCGCGUGCUGUGGAACCACUUUGGGUUGAGGGUGCUGGACAUAAUGAUGUCGAACUCUUCAAUCAGUAUCUCGACAGACUGAAACGUUUUGUAUCUGUAGAAUUGCUCAACUGACAAAGACUGCCGGCCACGGGCCAGACAAUUCAAGGUGACGACCAAAAUCCAGCUUCGACACUGAGCUCCGGCACUUCUAGUUCUGUGACAGAGACCUC
Manduca sexta (tobacco hornworm) is the source of this 778-nucleotide long non-coding RNA. RefSeq lists it as uncharacterized. NCBI's taxonomy places the organism in Eukaryota, Metazoa, Arthropoda, Insecta, Lepidoptera, Sphingidae. The transcript is spliced from 4 exons. The record is from RefSeq and is a predicted model, not a curated record.